UGCCGCGUGAGGGAUGACGGCCCUCGGGACGUAAACUUCUUUCCUCGGGACGAUAAUGACGGUACCGGGAGAAGAAGCCCCGGCUAACUUCGUGCCAGCAGCCGCGGUAAU
RNAcentral lists this ribosomal RNA (111 nucleotides) under uncultured bacterium. RNAcentral's name for it is "partial 16S ribosomal RNA". It matches the Rfam family "Bacterial small subunit ribosomal RNA", at positions 395 to 524 of the family's 1533-position model. The record is from RNAcentral.